Molecule: non-coding RNA, 2404 nt
Filed under: Limnonectes cf. kuhlii 'lineage 20'
Lineage: Eukaryota; Metazoa; Chordata; Amphibia; Anura; Dicroglossidae
Description: partial contains 12S ribosomal RNA, tRNA-Val, and 16S ribosomal RNA; may also contain tRNA-Phe
Rfam family: Bacterial large subunit ribosomal RNA (bases 1056-2404)
Source: RNAcentral
GCCUUACCAUCAACUCUCCCUAAACUUACACAUGCAAGUCUCAGCACACCCGUGAGGACACCCUUUCCCCUACACCAGAUCUAGGAGCUGGCAUCAGGCAUUAAACCUACCCAUUACGCCUAGUCCCACCACGCCCACAAGGGCCUUCAGCAGUGAUAAAUAUUGUUCAUAAGCGACAGCUUGACUCAGUUAUAGAGAAAAGAGCUGGCUAACUCGGUGCCAGCCGCCGCGGCUAAACCGCACGAGCCCAAGUUGAUGAUUAUCGGCGUUAAGCGUGAUUAAAGACCCCCAUCAAUUAGAGUAGAACCUACACUCAGCUGUGACAAGCUUCUGUUAGAGAAAAAUAUAAACGAAAGUUACUCUAAUUUACUUGAAUACACGACAGUCGGGAAACAAACUGGGAUUAGAUACCCCACUAUGCCCCACCGUAAAAUAUUAACUUACACUUACAACGCCAGGGUAUUACGAGCCUCAGCUUAAAACCCAAAGGACUUGACGGUGUCCCACCCAACUAGAGGAGCCUGUUCUAUAAUCGAUAACCCCCGAUAUACCCAACCCCAUUUUGCAAAUCAGCCUGUAUACCUCCGUCGCAAGCUUACCAUAUGAAUGCCAAUAGUAAGUUUAAUGGUAGUACACCAACACGUCAGGUCAAGGUGCAGCUCAUGAUAGGGCAAGCAAUGGGCUACAAUUUCUAAUAUAGAAUAUACAGAAUGCUACAUGAAACACAACAUGAAGGCGGAUUUAGCAGUAAAAAUGAAAUAACGUGUCAUUUUUAACAAGGCCCUGGGACGUGUACACACCGCCCGUCACCCUCUUCAAUUAUACUCAAUAUGUCUAUUACAACCUAAUAUAUCCUAGAAGAGGCAAGUCGUAACAUGGUAAGUGUACCGGAAGGUGCGCUUGGAUUACCAAAAUAUAGCUUAAACAAAGCCUCUCGCUUACACCGAGAAAACAUCCAUGAAAACCGGAUUAUUUUGAGCCCAAGAUCAAGCCUAACCCUAACCUCAUGUACUUCCCCCUUCUUCCAAACUUUAAUAAAACAUUUUAUCAGUUUAGUAUAGGCGAUUAAAAAACUUAUUAGCGCUUUAUUAUAAGUACCGCAAGGGAAAGAUGAAAUAGCUUUGAAAUAGUUUUUAAGCAAAAUAUAGCAGAGAUCACCUCUCGUACCUUUUGCAUCAUGGUCUAGCUAGUCUCCCCCAAGCAAAGCGAAACAUCAGUUUGACCCCCCGAAACUAGGCGAGCUACUUUGAAACAGCUCAAUGGAGCCAACCCAUCUCUGUUGCAAAAGAGUGGGAUGAUUUUUAAGUAGAGGUGAAAAGCCUAACGAGCUUAGAGAUAGCUGGUUAUUCAGGAAAAGAAUUUUAGUUCAACCUUAAGUUUUUCUAUUACCCCACAAAAUUGCCCCAAACUUAAGAGCCAUUCAAAUAAGGCACAGCUUAUUUGAAAAAGGAUACAACCUAUGAAAAGGGGUAAAAAAUAUUAUACAAACCAAGUUGGCCUGAAAGCAGCCACCUUUAAGAAAGCGUUAAAGCUCUUUUUUAUUUUCUUAAUAAUUCCUCUAAAUACAUUAAACCCUUUAUCACUACUGAAUGAUUCUAUAACUUAUAGAAGCCCUGAUACUAGAACUAGUAACAAGAAAUAGUAUUUCUCCAAAAUAUAAACACAAGCCUAAAUGGACAAACCACUGGCAGUUAACGUAUAUAAAAUCACUGUAGUAACCCCCACAAGAGAAUCCUACAAAUACAAACGUUAACCUUACACAAGUAUAUUUCAGGAAAGAUUAAAAGAAAGGGAAGGAACUCGGCAAAUCUCAACCCCGCCUGUUUACCAAAAACAUCGCCUCUUGAUAAAUUAUAAGAGGUCCAGCCUGCCCAGUGAUUUAAUUAAACGGCCGCGGUACCCUGACCGUGCGAAGGUAGCAUAAUCACUUGUUCUUUAAAUAAGGACUAGUAUCAACGGCAUCACGAGGGUUCUACUGUCUCCCCUCUCUAAUCAGUGAAACUGACUUCCCCGUGAAGAGGCGGGGAUACAACUACAAGACGAGAAGACCCCAUGGAGCUUUAAACCCACUAACAAUCUCUGGCCAAACACACCCACGCAAAUGAAGAAUAGUGUACAGUGGUUUUAGGUUGGGGUGACCACGGAGUAGAACUAAACCUCCAUGACGAACGGAAAUUCAUCCUAAUCCACGAGCUACCGCUCUAAGAAUCAAAAAACUUGACAUAAAAUGAUCCGGUAACCGAUCAACGAACCAAGUUACCCUGGGGAUAACAGCGCAAUCCAUUUCAAGAGCCCCUAUCGACAAAUGGGUUUACGACCUCGAUGUUGGAUCAGGGUAUCCUAGUGGUGCAGCCGCUACUAAAGGUUUGUUUGUUCAACAAUUAAAACCCUACGUGAUCUGAGU